GAACAAAUUGGAACGUGUAAAACUCCAUGGGUUUGCAUAUGCAUAGCUGUACUUCUCUUAUUUCAAGUUGAAUAAUACUAGUGCAUGAAGAGUUAUAUAUAGAUGAUGUAUAAAAAAAAGUGAGAAAAAAGAGUUUUUUCUUAUUUGAUUGAAUUCUAGUCCAAUCGUAUCUCACAUCAUGUGUAUAUAAAUUAUUAUGUACAUGUAGCACAAUCGUUUCUAGUUUAUACAAUUCUAGUCUAUGCUAUAUUAGAACACAAUGUGCAAUAUGAACAAAUAUAUUAUCGAGUCGAGUCUACUGUUUUAGCUCAAGGAAUGUAUGUUGUAUCUUUUAAACAAAGUUGCUCACCUUAGC
RNAcentral lists this long non-coding RNA (355 nucleotides) under Olea europaea (common olive). Its description in RNAcentral is "long non-coding RNA (OEUR_LNC013068)". Lineage: Eukaryota; Viridiplantae; Streptophyta; Magnoliopsida; Lamiales; Oleaceae. The record is from RNAcentral.